RNAcentral lists this ribosomal RNA (253 nucleotides) under uncultured bacterium. RNAcentral's name for it is "partial 16S ribosomal RNA". It matches the Rfam family "Bacterial small subunit ribosomal RNA", at positions 524 to 776 of the family's 1533-position model. The record is from RNAcentral.
UACGGGGGGAGCAAGCGUUGUUCGGAUUUACUGGGCGUAAAGGGCGCGUAGGCGGCGCAACAAGUCACUUGUGAAAUCUCCGGGCUUAACCCGGAGCGGCCAAGUGAUACUGUCGUGCUAGAGUGCGGAAGGGGCUACUGGAAUUCUCGGUGUAGCGGUGAAAUGCGUAGAUAUCGAGAGGAACACCUGCGGCGAAGGCGGGUAGCUGGGCCGACACUGACGCUGAUACGCGAAAGCCAGGGGAGCGAACGGG